GUCCAAUUCAUCUGAAAAUUUCAGGGCAGAUAGAUCUUAAACUGAUAAACAAUUUUACCCCAUGUCAGAUUUGCUCUAAAUGCUUUUGGUUUUGAGUUAUAAGCCAAAAACUGCAUUUUACCCCAUGUUCUAUUUUUAGCCAUGGCGGCCAUCUUGGUUUGAUGGCCGGUCACCGGACACAUUUUUCAAACUACUAACCCAAAAGAUGAUUGUGGCCAAGUUUGGAUUAAAUUGGCCCAGUAGUUUCAGAGGAGAAGAUUUUUGUAAAAUAUUACUAAGAUUU
This 283-nucleotide long non-coding RNA is filed under the name Mytilus galloprovincialis (Mediterranean mussel). Lineage: Eukaryota; Metazoa; Mollusca; Bivalvia; Mytilida; Mytilidae. The record is from RNAcentral.